This 420-nucleotide ribosomal RNA is filed under the name uncultured bacterium. Its description in RNAcentral is "bacterial SSU rRNA". It matches the Rfam family "Bacterial small subunit ribosomal RNA", at positions 362 to 774 of the family's 1533-position model. The record is from RNAcentral.
UAUUGGACAAUGGGCGCAAGCCUGAUCCAGCCAUGCCGCGUGGGUGAAGAAGGCCUUCGGGUUGUAAAGCCCUUUUGUCCGGAAAGAAAAGCUCCAGGUUAAUACCUUGGGGUCCUGACGGUACCGGAAGAAUAAGCACCGGCUAACUUCGUGCCAGCAGUCGCGGUAAUACGAAGGGUGCAAGCGUUACUCGGAAUUACUGGGCGUAAAGCGUGCGUAGGUGGUUCGUUAAGUCUGAUGUGAAAGCCCUGGGCUCAACCUGGGAAUUGCAUUGGAUACUGGCGGGCUAGAGUGCGGUAGAGGAUGGCGGAAUUCCCGGUGUAGCAGUGAAAUGCGUAGAGAUCGGGAGGAACAUCUGUGGCGAAGGCGGCCAUCUGGACCAGCACUGACACUGAGGCACGAAAGCGUGGGGAGCAAACA